AGCCGAAACGGUGGAGCUUCCACCGUCUGGCGGGACCGGCCGCCCGCCACCGAUGAGGCAGGCCAGA
RNAcentral lists this non-coding RNA (67 nucleotides) under Lachnospiraceae bacterium. Lineage: Bacteria; Bacillati; Bacillota; Clostridia; Lachnospirales; Lachnospiraceae. RNAcentral also lists the same sequence under 1 other name. The record is from RNAcentral.